UACGUAGGGUGCGAGCGUUAAUCGGAAUUACUGGGCGUAAAGCGUGCGCAGGCGGUUAUUUAAGACAGAUGUGAAAUCCCCGGGCUCAACCUGGGAACUGCGUUUGUGACUGGAUAGCUAGAGUGCGGCAGAGGGGGGUAGAAUUCCACGUGUAGCAGUGAAAUGCGUAGAUAUGUGGAGGAAUACCGAUGGCGAAGGCAGCCCCCUGGGUCGACACUGACGCUCAUGCACGAAAGCGUGGGGAGCAAACAGG
This 253-nucleotide ribosomal RNA is filed under the name uncultured bacterium. RNAcentral describes it as "partial 16S ribosomal RNA". It matches the Rfam family "Bacterial small subunit ribosomal RNA", at positions 524 to 776 of the family's 1533-position model. The record is from RNAcentral.